Molecule: ribosomal RNA, 254 nt
Filed under: uncultured bacterium
Lineage: Bacteria
Description: partial 16S ribosomal RNA
Rfam family: Bacterial small subunit ribosomal RNA
Source: RNAcentral
GACGGAGGAGGCAAGCGUUAUCCGGAAUUAUUGGGCGUAAAGAGCUCGUAGGCGGCUCGGUAAGUCGGGUGUGAAAACUCUGGGCUCAACCCAGAGACGCCACACGAUACUGCUGUGGCUUGAGUCCGGUAGGGGAGCGUGGAAUUCCUGGUGUAGCGGUGAAAUGCGCAGAUAUCAGGAGGAACACCAGCGGCGAAGGCGGCGCUCUGGGCCGGAACUGACGCUGAGGAGCGAAAGCGUGGGUAGCAAACAGG